Molecule: ribosomal RNA, 400 nt
Filed under: phytoplankton environmental sample
Lineage: Eukaryota
Description: partial small subunit ribosomal RNA
Rfam family: Eukaryotic small subunit ribosomal RNA
Source: RNAcentral
AGCUCCAAUAGCGUAUAUUAAAGUUGUUGCAGUUAAAAAGCUCGUAGUUGGAUUUCUGCAUACGAUAGAUGAGCCUAUGCUGUAAUGGUAUAUGUGCUAGUGUCUGUUCGUAGCAUCCUCGUGGAGAGCUUAUCUGGCAUUAGGUUGUCGGGUAAGGGAUCCAUGUCGUUUACUGUGAAAAAAUUAGAGUGUUCAAAGCAGGCUUAUGCCGUUGAAUAUUAAAGCAUGGAAUAAUAAGAUAGGACCUCGGCGGUCUAUUUUGUUGGUUUGCACGCCAAGGUAAUGAUUAACAGGGAUAGUUGGGGGUAUUCGUAUUCAAUUGUCAGAGGUGAAAUUCUUGGAUUUAUGGAAGACGAACUACUGCGAAAGCAUUUACCAAGGAUGUUUUCAUUAAUCAAGA